CUCCUACUCCUUCCGUCCGAAAAUACUUUGUCAUCAAAAUGGAUAAAAAGGGAUAUAUCUAGAACGAAUAUACAUCUAGAUACAUUCCCUUUUAUUCAUUUUGAUGACAAGUAUUUUCGAACUGAGGGAGCAGAUC
Molecule: non-coding RNA, 136 nt
Organism: Triticum aestivum (bread wheat)
Lineage: Eukaryota; Viridiplantae; Streptophyta; Magnoliopsida; Poales; Poaceae
Source: Rfam